RNAcentral lists this ribosomal RNA (256 nucleotides) under uncultured Gardnerella sp. Its description in RNAcentral is "partial 16S ribosomal RNA". It matches the Rfam family "Bacterial small subunit ribosomal RNA", at positions 99 to 354 of the family's 1533-position model. Lineage: Bacteria; Bacillati; Actinomycetota; Actinomycetes; Bifidobacteriales; Bifidobacteriaceae. The record is from RNAcentral.
CGAACGGGCGAGUAAUGCGUGACCAACCUGCCCCAUGCUCCAGAAUAGCUCUUGGAAACGGGUGGUAAUGCUGGAUGCUCCAACUUGACGCAUGUCUUGUUGGGAAAGUGUUUAGUGGCAUGGGAUGGGGUCGCGUCCUAUCAGCUUGUAGGCGGGGUAAUGGCCCACCUAGGCUUCGACGGGUAGCCGGCCUGAGAGGGCGGACGGCCACAUUGGGACUGAGAUACGGCCCAGACUCCUACGGGAGGCAGCAGGA